This 88-nucleotide transfer RNA is filed under the name Streptomyces noursei. RNAcentral describes it as "tRNA-Thr". Lineage: Bacteria; Bacillati; Actinomycetota; Actinomycetes; Kitasatosporales; Streptomycetaceae. The record is from RNAcentral.
CCGGGCGGUGGGCGGCCAACAGCAGGGCGGCGGUGGCGCCCAGCGAGUGGCCGAUGAGCGUGACCGGUCCGAGGCCGAGCGCCUGGAC